CGGGUGAGUAACACGUGGGCAACCUGCCCAAAAGAGGGGGAUAACACUUGGAAACAGGUGCUAAUACCGCAUAACCAUAGUUACCGCAUGGUAACUAUGUAAAAGGUGGCUAUGCUACCGCUUUUGGAUGGGCCCGCGGCGCAUUAGCUAGUUGGUGGGGUAAAGGCUUACCAAGGCAAUGAUGCGUAGCCGAACUGAGAGGUUGAUCGGCCACAUUGGGACUGAGACACGGCCCAAACUCCUACGGGAGGCAGCAGUAGGGAAUCUUCCACAAUGGGCGAAAGCCUGAUGGAGCAACGCCGCGUGGGUGAAGAAGGUCUUCGGAUCGUAAAACCCUGUUGUUAGAGAGGAAAGUGCGUGAGAGUAACUGUUCACGUUUCGACGGUAUCUAACCAGAAAGCCACGGCUAACUACGUGCCAGCAGCCGCGGUAAUACGUAGGUGGCAAGCGUUAUCCGGAUUUAUUGGGCGUAAAGGGAACGCAGGCGGUCUUUUAAGUCUGAUGUGAUAGCCUUCGGCUUAACC
Molecule: ribosomal RNA, 524 nt
Filed under: uncultured bacterium
Lineage: Bacteria
Description: bacterial SSU rRNA
Rfam family: Bacterial small subunit ribosomal RNA
Source: RNAcentral